RNAcentral lists this ribosomal RNA (237 nucleotides) under uncultured Lactobacillus sp. RNAcentral describes it as "partial 16S ribosomal RNA". It matches the Rfam family "Bacterial small subunit ribosomal RNA", at positions 125 to 356 of the family's 1533-position model. The record is from RNAcentral. Lineage: Bacteria; Bacillati; Bacillota; Bacilli; Lactobacillales; Lactobacillaceae.
CCUGCCCAAGAGAUCGGGAUAACACCUGGAAACAGAUGCUAAUACCGGAUAACAACAGAUGAUGCCUAUCAACUGUUUAAAAGAUGGUUCUGCUAUCACUCUUGGAUGGACCUGCGGUGCAUUAGCUAGUUGGUAGGGUAACGGCCUACCAAGGCGAUGAUGCAUAGCCGAGUUGAGAGACUGAUCGGCCACAUUGGGACUGAGACACGGCCCAAACUCCUACGGAAGGCAGCAGCG